AAGAGUUUAGUUUAACGGUUAAAACAUCGAUCUUACACAUCGAGGACAGAGGUUCGAUUCCUCUAAUUCUUA
This 72-nucleotide transfer RNA is filed under the name Pseudozyma flocculosa. It matches the Rfam family "tRNA". From Rfam's summary of the family: Transfer RNA (tRNA) molecules are approximately 80 nucleotides in length. Their secondary structure includes four short double-helical elements and three loops (D, anti-codon, and T loops). Lineage: Eukaryota; Fungi; Basidiomycota; Ustilaginomycetes; Ustilaginales; Ustilaginaceae. The record is from Rfam by way of RNAcentral.